AUUUCUUUUUUUUUUGGUUUUGUGUUUUUGUACUUUUUUAAAUUACUUUUCAUAACUUUUAUGAUUUUUAAAAAUAAGUUGUAUAAAACUAUAUGACGGACAGCUGUGAUAUAAAAUGUUUAACGCUAUAACUAGUUUGAACAAGAGAACCAGGCUGUAAUAACACGGACUAUUUUACAUGUAAAUCAUGUUGCAUUACAUUUGUUUUGCGUUCUAAAAACAUUCACAUGUGACUGAUGUAAAUGUGGACGAAGGGCGCGUCUCGUUAUCCAUCACGCUGUUAAAUUUCCGGCUCUCGGCCCCUCACUGAACAGAGCAGACGCAGAGAGAGGUGUGAGUGCAGAGGGAAAGCAAGACCUCGCGCUUGCAGGACAGUACUGCUGACAUUUGGAAAGUCAAGACAUAGGGUUUGUGCAAAAAGCUGAUAGAUCUGUCGUUUGGCGUUUUUUCUUUUUGCAUAAAAGUCACUAAAGAGGUCUGAAAAUCCUAAAGGGGUCUGAAAAGUCACUAAAGGGGUCUGAAAAGUGGUCUGAAAAGUGGCUAAAGGGGUCUGAAAGUGGCUAAAGGGGUCUGAAAAGUCACUAAAAGGGUCUGAAAAGUGCUAAAGGGGUCUGAAAAGUCACUAAAAGGGUCUGAAAAGUGCUAAAGGGGUCUGAAAAGUGCUAAAAGGGUCUGAAAAGUGUUAAAGGGGUCUGAAAAGUCACUAAAAGGGUCUGAAAAGUGGUCUGAAAAGUGGCUAAAGGGGUCUGAAAGUGGCUAAAGGGGUCUGAAAAGUCACUAAAAGGGUCUGAAAAGUGCUAAAGGGGUCUGAAAAGUGCUAAAAGGGUCUGAAAAGUGCUAAAGGGGUCUGAAAAGUCACUAAAAGGGUCUGAAAAGUGCUAAAGAGGUCUGAAAGGUCACUAAAGGGGUCUGAAAAGUGCUAAAGGGGUCUGAAAAGUCACUAAAGGGGUCUGAAAGUCUCUAAGUCGGCAACACUGGUCUGCACUGACAGCUAGAUAAAAGUCAGCUAAGCUCCGCCUCUCCCCACAAAAAGAAAAAAUUGGCGCCCCCCCUUCCGACCUCUCCUGGUUGAGAACCACUGCCUUAGAAUAUAGCAGCUGUUUCCUUACCUUUGUACCGUCUCUCGAAGUUAAUAAGCCAAAAGAAACGCAGCUUGCCUUGUUACCCAGAACCCAAACGCGGGAAGUCUCCUGCCCUGAAGACAUCAGAAAACGUCCCGUUACGCCUUGACACUGGAGACUCCUUCCAUAGACACCAAACCGCCGUCUCAUCUCACGUCAGCACUUACACACAGUUUCCAGUCUGGAGCGUCCACGAGCUGUUACCAUAGAAACGGUAACGUAUUACAGGGGACUGGUGACGGGAAUGUUAACGACGUGUCAAGUGAACUGACACUGGGGCU
Ictalurus punctatus (channel catfish) is the source of this 1402-nucleotide long non-coding RNA. The record is from Ensembl. Lineage: Eukaryota; Metazoa; Chordata; Actinopteri; Siluriformes; Ictaluridae.